Triticum aestivum (bread wheat) is the source of this 123-nucleotide non-coding RNA. The record is from Rfam. Lineage: Eukaryota; Viridiplantae; Streptophyta; Magnoliopsida; Poales; Poaceae.
CAAAUACUCCCUCCGUCCGGAAAUACUUGUCAUCAAAAUGGAUAAAAGGAAAUGUAUCUAGACGUAUUUUGGUUUUAGAUACAUCUAUUUUUAUCAAUUAUUUUCGGAUGGAGGGAGUAGAAA